Molecule: RNA transcript, 1676 nt
Organism: Eupeodes corollae
Lineage: Eukaryota; Metazoa; Arthropoda; Insecta; Diptera; Syrphidae
Exons: 5
Source: RefSeq, a predicted model, not a curated record
UAAAAAAAUUUAAAAUAAAACAUUUUGUUUCAUUUCUGGCGCAGUCGGUAGGAUCAACCAGAAUACUUCUAUCUGCGAAAAAGAUAGAUACGCGAAUAGUAUCCAAAUCUUUAUCUGCGAAAAAGAUAGAUACGCGAAAAGAAUCCAAAUCAGAAAACAAAUGUUAACAAAACGAAAACAUUUCUUAUAAUCUCAUGUAGAUACUCACUAUAAUCAUUUUAUAAAUAUUGCUGUAUCUAUUAAUAGCCGUGUUUUUUUUCGCAAAUCUGUACCUAUAGAAUUGUUGAAAAAAACGACAUCGGGAGUAAGCAACUUCUUUCCUUAAAGUUAGAAGCACUGUACACACUAUGGCAUUUUCCAGCUGUAUUGAGACUAGCAUCAACAAGCAUCCAAAAACGUCACUUUUAACUUCUCUGAACAAAUUAUCGAUUACAUGUAGAUAAUAUUAUAUUAGCAUCACCGUUUCGAAAAUGAUCUGGCCUUAGCUAAAUCUGUAAAGAGUCAAGUAGUUGUUCUAUUUACAUGUUAAGCGCUUAUACCCGAUGUCCUUUUUUUCUACGAUUCAAUAUGGAUUUGCAAAAAAACACCUAAUAAAAAUCCCCAAUGAAAUUUCACCACACAAUGAAGAAUGUCAUAUUUUUGUAUUAGUGUGCGUUCUUAACGUAUCCAAGUGCAUAAUUAUAAUGAAAUUUCACCACACAAUUAUCUAUGAAAAAUGACAUAUUUUUGCAUUAGUGUGCGUUCUUUUUCCACCAAAGAACUCCAAGCCAGAUCUAUUUGAUCUUUAUAGUUAUUAAUCUAUACGUUCUUGAAUCUCGGCUAAUCGUACAUACAUUCGUGUUUUCGUGCAAAAUUGUGCAAAGUUGUGAAUUUAGAAAAAAAGAGUUUAAAAUAAGAAACAAGACAUUUCAGUUUAAAAAGUUUAAAACGUGUUUAACUCAUUCGCGUUUUUCUAAAAGAAUUCCGAUUUAAUCCACACAGAUAAAAUUUUUCGAAAUUAAUACGGACUUACAUACAUAAUAAAACCAAAUUAAGCACCCUCAUUGGUCAAAAACGAAUUUUACCUUCAGUAAAUAUCAGGAAUACUACCGAACGUCAUCCAGAGGGCGAAUAUACAACAAAUUUUCGAAUAACAAGAAGUCGUUUCGCCUAUCUGGAAGUCCUUGUUUUUUUAGAACCGGAAGGAAACAAUCCAGUACUUGAUUCUGAAUCAAACGCAGAGGAAAUAAUUAGAUCAAUCAAGUUCGAUAACCUGACAGCGGAAGAGUUUGAUCGGUAUUGGCAGGAUUGCACAAACUACCGUCUUAAUAAAAUACAAGCUUGUAGUUCAACGGCUGAGGCCUUAGAAAAGUGGCCAUAUUAUAAAAAGCCUCUUGGUUUUCGACUGAUUGAUAUGGACUUUAAAGUUCUUCACGCAAAUGCGUGUUCACUGUUGGACAACUGGGAAGCACAAAGAACAAAGAUUGCUUUGUUUUUAACAAAGGAUCAAAACUUAAAGGACAGGCGAUUGGUUCAACUUCUUAAGGAAUGGAUGAGUGACAAGUUAGAUGACAGUAAAAUCUUUUCCUUCCUUUUUUACUUGCGAAAUACAAUUGGGCAAGUUCUGCAUUUAGAAAAAAAUUGAACUCGAGAUUUUGAGUUGACAUUACUAUGACAGCGAACACAAUUAAAGUAGG